RNAcentral lists this ribosomal RNA (253 nucleotides) under uncultured bacterium. RNAcentral describes it as "partial 16S ribosomal RNA". It matches the Rfam family "Bacterial small subunit ribosomal RNA", at positions 524 to 776 of the family's 1533-position model. The record is from RNAcentral.
GACAGAGGGUGCAAGCGUUGUUCGGAAUUAUUGGGCGUAAAGGGCGCGUAGGCGGCGACGUAAGUCAGGUGUGAAAUCCCGGGGCUUAACCCCGGAAGUGCGCCUGAUACUGCGUUGCUUGAGUCCCGGAGAGGGUGGUGGAAUUCCCAGUGUAGAGGUGAAAUUCGUAGAUAUUGGGAGGAAUACCGGUGGCGAAGGCGACCACCUGGACGGAGACUGACGCUGAGGCGCGAAAGCGUGGGGAGCAAACAGG